GAUGAACGCUGGCGGCGUGCCUAAUACAUGCAAGUCGAGCGAACAGACGAGAAGCUUGCUUUUCUGAUGUUAGCGGCGGACGGGUGAGUAACACGUGGAUAACCUACCUAUAAGACUGGGAUAACUUCGGGAAACCGGAGCUAAUACCGGAUAAUAUUUUGAACCGCAUGGUUCAAUAGUGAAAGACGGUCUUGCUGUCACUUAUAGAUGGAUCCGCGCUGCAUUAGCUAGUUGGUAAGGUAACGGCUUACCAAGGCAACGAUGCGUAGCCGACCUGAGAGGGUGAUCGGCCACACUGGAACUGAGACACGGUCCAGACUCCUACGGGAGGCAGCAGUAGGGAAUCUUCCGCAAUGGGCGAAAGCCUGACGGAGCAACGCCGCGUGAGUGAUGAAGGUCUUCGGAUCGUAAAACUCUGUUAUUAGGGAAGAACAUAUGUGUAAGUAACUGUGCACAUCUUGACGGUACCUAAUCAGAAAGCCACGGCUAACUACGUG
This 497-nucleotide ribosomal RNA is filed under the name uncultured bacterium. Its description in RNAcentral is "partial 16S ribosomal RNA". It matches the Rfam family "Bacterial small subunit ribosomal RNA", at positions 28 to 507 of the family's 1533-position model. The record is from RNAcentral.